RNAcentral lists this ribosomal RNA (253 nucleotides) under uncultured bacterium. RNAcentral's name for it is "partial 16S ribosomal RNA". It matches the Rfam family "Bacterial small subunit ribosomal RNA", at positions 524 to 776 of the family's 1533-position model. The record is from RNAcentral.
UACGUAGGGUGCGAGCGUUAAUCGGAAUUACUGGGCGUAAAGCGUGCGCAGGCGGUUUUGUAAGCCCGGCGUGAAAUCCCCGGGCUUAACCUGGGAAUGGCGUUUGGGACUGCAAGGCUGGAGUACGGCAGAGGGGACUAGAAUUUCUGGUGUAGCAGUGAAAUGCGUAGAUAUCAGGAGGAAUACCGAUGGCGAAGGCAGGUCCCUGGGCUGAUACUGACGCUCAUGCACGAAAGCGUCGGGAGCAAACAGG